This 74-nucleotide transfer RNA is filed under the name Saprospirales bacterium. RNAcentral's name for it is "tRNA-Arg". It matches the Rfam family "tRNA". From Rfam's summary of the family: Transfer RNA (tRNA) molecules are approximately 80 nucleotides in length. Lineage: Bacteria; Pseudomonadati; Bacteroidota; Saprospiria; Saprospirales. The record is from RNAcentral.
GGCCCCGUAGCUCAAUUGGAUAGAGCAUCUGACUACGGAUCAGAAGGUUGAAGGUUCGAGUCCUUCCGAGGUCA